UUAAGUUAUUAAGGGCGCACGGUGGAUGCCUUGGCACUAGAAGCCGAUGAAGGACGUUACUAACGACGAUAUGCUUUGGGGAGCUGUAAGUAAGCUUUGAUCCAGAGAUUUCCGAAUGGGGAAACCCAGCAUGAGUUAUGUCAUGUUAUCGAUAUGUGAAUACAUAGCAUAUCAGAAGGCACACCCGGAGAACUGAAACAUCUUAGUACCCGGAGGAAGAGAAAGAAAAUUCGAUUCCCUUAGUAGCGGCGAGCGAAACGGGAAGAGCCCAAACCAACAAGCUUGCUUGUUGGGGUUGUAGGACACUCUAUACGGAGUUACAAAGGACGACAUUAGACGAAUCAUCUGGAAAGAUGAAUCAAAGAAGGUAAUAAUCCUGUAGUCGAAAAUGUUGUCUCUCUUGAGUGGAUCCUGAGUACGACGGAGCACGUGAAAUUCCGUCGGAAUCUGGGAGGACCAUCUCCUAAGGCUAAAUACUCUCUAGUGACCGAUAGUGAACCAGUACCGUGAGGGAAAGGUGAAAAGCACCCCGGAAGGGGAGUGAAAUAGAACCUGAAACCGUGUGCUUACAAGUAGUCAGAGCCCGUUAAUGGGUGAUGGCGUGCCUUUUGUAGAAUGAACCGGCGAGUUACGAUUUGAUGCAAGGUUAAGCAGUAAAUGUGGAGCCGUAGCGAAAGCGAGUCUGAAUAGGGCGUUUAGUAUUUGGUCGUAGACCCGAAACCAGGUGAUCUACCCUUGGUCAGGUUGAAGUUCAGGUAACACUGAAUGGAGGACCGAACCGACUUACGUUGAAAAGUGAGCGGAUGAACUGAGGGUAGCGGAGAAAUUCCAAUCGAACCUGGAGAUAGCUGGUUCUCUCCGAAAUAGCUUUAGGGCUAGCCUCAAGUGAUGAUUAUUGGAGGUAGAGCACUGUUUGGACGAGGGGCCCCUCUCGGGUUACCGAAUUCAGACAAACUCCGAAUGCCAAUUAAUUUAACUUGGGAGUCAGAACAUGGGUGAUAAGGUCCGUGUUCGAAAGGGAAACAGCCCAGACCACCAGCUAAGGUCCCAAAAUAUAUGUUAAGUGGAAAAGGAUGUGGCGUUGCCCAGACAACUAGGAUGUUGGCUUAGAAGCAGCCAUCAUUUAAAGAGUGCGUAAUAGCUCACUAGUCGAGUGACACUGCGCCGAAAAUGUACCGGGGCUAAACAUAUUACCGAAGCUGUGGAUUGUCCUUUGGACAAUGGUAGGAGAGCGUUCUAAGGGCGUUGAAGCAUGAUCGUAAGGACAUGUGGAGCGCUUAGAAGUGAGAAUGCCGGUGUGAGUAGCGAAAGACGGGUGAGAAUCCCGUCCACCGAUUGACUAAGGUUUCCAGAGGAAGGCUCGUCCGCUCUGGGUUAGUCGGGUCCUAAGCUGAGGCCGACAGGCGUAGGCGAUGGAUAACAGGUUGAUAUUCCUGUACCACCUAUAAUCGUUUUAAUCGAUGGGGGGACGCAGUAGGAUAGGCGAAGCGUGCGAUUGGAUUGCACGUCUAAGCAGUAAGGCUGAGUAUUAGGCAAAUCCGGUACUCAUUAAGGCUGAGCUGUGAUGGGGAGAAGACAUUGUGUCUUCGAGUCGUUGAUUUCACACUGCCGAGAAAAGCCUCUAGAUAGAAAAUAGGUGCCCGUACCGCAAACCGACACAGGUAGUCAAGAUGAGAAUUCUAAGGUGAGCGAGCGAACUCUCGUUAAGGAACUCGGCAAAAUGACCCCGUAACUUCGGGAGAAGGGGUGCUCUUUAGGGUUAACGCCCAGAAGAGCCGCAGUGAAUAGGCCCAAGCGACUGUUUAUCAAAAACACAGGUCUCUGCUAAACCGUAAGGUGAUGUAUAGGGGCUGACGCCUGCCCGGUGCUGGAAGGUUAAGAGGAGUGGUUAGCUUCUGCGAAGCUAUGAAUCGAAGCCCCAGUAAACGGCGGCCGUAACUAUAACGGUCCUAAGGUAGCGAAAUUCCUUGUCGGGUAAGUUCCGACCCGCACGAAAGGCGUAACGAUUUGGGCACUGUCUCAACGAGAGACUCGGUGAAAUCAUAGUACCUGUGAAGAUGCAGGUUACCCGCGACAGGACGGAAAGACCCCGUGGAGCUUUACUGUAGCCUGAUAUUGAAAUUCGGCACAGCUUGUACAGGAUAGGUAGGAGCCUUUGAAACGUGAGCGCUAGCUUACGUGGAGGCGCUGGUGGGAUACUACCCUAGCUGUGUUGGCUUUCUAACCCGCACCACUUAUCGUGGUGGGAGACAGUGUCAGGCGGGCAGUUUGACUGGGGCGGUCGCCUCCUAAAAGGUAACGGAGGCGCUCAAAGGUUCCCUCAGAAUGGUUGGAAAUCAUUCAUAGAGUGUAAAGGCAUAAGGGAGCUUGACUGCGAGACCUACAAGUCGAGCAGGGUCGAAAGACGGACUUAGUGAUCCGGUGGUUCCGCAUGGAAGGGCCAUCGCUCAACGGAUAAAAGCUACCCCGGGGAUAACAGGCUUAUCUCCCCCAAGAGUUCACAUCGACGGGGAGGUUUGGCACCUCGAUGUCGGCUCAUCGCAUCCUGGGGCUGUAGUCGGUCCCAAGGGUUGGGCUGUUCGCCCAUUAAAGCGGUACGCGAGCUGGGUUCAGAACGUCGUGAGACAGUUCGGUCCCUAUCCGUCGUGGGCGUAGGAAAUUUGAGAGGAGCUGUCCUUAGUACGAGAGGACCGGGAUGGACAUACCUCUGGUGUACCAGUUGUCGUGCCAACGGCAUAGCUGGGUAGCUAUGUGUGGACGGGAUAAGUGCUGAAAGCAUCUAAGCAUGAAGCCCCCCUCAAGAUGAGAUUUCCCAACUUCGGUUAUAAGAUCCCUCAAAGAUGAUGAGGUUAAUAGGUUCGAGGUGGAAGCAUGGUGACAUGUGGAGCUGACGAAUACUAAUCGAUCGAAGACUUAAUCAA
Molecule: ribosomal RNA, 2921 nt
Filed under: Staphylococcus aureus
Lineage: Bacteria; Bacillati; Bacillota; Bacilli; Caryophanales; Staphylococcaceae
Description: bacterial LSU rRNA
Rfam family: Bacterial large subunit ribosomal RNA
Source: RNAcentral